GCGUUGUCCGGAAUCACUGGGCGUAAAGGGCGCGUAGGUGGCCUGGUAAGUAGGGGGUGAAAUCUCGAGGCUCAACUUCGAGGCUGCCUCCUAAACUGCCGGGCUCGAGCAGAGUAGAGGCAGGUGGAAUUCCCGGUGUAGCGGUGGAAUGCGUAGAGAUCGGGAAGAACAUCGGUGGCGAAGGCGGCCUGCUGGGCUCUUGCUGACACUGAGGCGCGACAGCGUG
RNAcentral lists this ribosomal RNA (226 nucleotides) under uncultured bacterium. Its description in RNAcentral is "partial 16S ribosomal RNA". It matches the Rfam family "Bacterial small subunit ribosomal RNA", at positions 538 to 763 of the family's 1533-position model. The record is from RNAcentral.